GGGAGCCAAGUGAAGAGCCAGCCAGUCUGACCCAUGAUUCUUGACAUGACUCAUGGUGAACUAAAAUUGCUUGCAAAGCAUCUGGGACAUGAUGUGAAGACCCACAAGGAAUAUUAUCAGUUGUCUUCCAGUACCAUGGAACUCUCAAAGGUUGCCCUGAUGUUGUAUGCUGU
Dreissena polymorpha is the source of this 173-nucleotide long non-coding RNA. RefSeq lists it as uncharacterized. The transcript is spliced from 3 exons. The record is from RefSeq and is a predicted model, not a curated record. Lineage: Eukaryota; Metazoa; Mollusca; Bivalvia; Myida; Dreissenidae.